CUACAACAUAGCAAGUCAUCAAGAAUGAGAAUAAUAUAGACGACCUCUGAUUACACUAUUGUUUAUUGGUUAAUCAGUGAUUGCUUCUGUUGAUCCAUUUUAACAAUUAGACCAACUGAAACAUAAACAACCAGUUAUCAGAAAACCUCAUCAAACAAAAUUCUUGUGACUUUAUUGUCUACACUAUAAGUAAAGCUCUUUUUCUUCCAUUAAUUUCAGCCGUUUCUUCUCUUUCAAUUUAAUUUUUUUUAGUGGGG
This 257-nucleotide unclassified non-coding RNA is filed under the name Hevea brasiliensis (rubber tree). Lineage: Eukaryota; Viridiplantae; Streptophyta; Magnoliopsida; Malpighiales; Euphorbiaceae. The record is from RNAcentral.